AUCACUCAUCGAGGCGACUCCGGUCCAGUCCAGACAGACGAACACCGCAGGGCGCUGCGAAAUAACGGAGGCCGAUGUGCCGUGGAGCUCUCUGUUUUUCCCUUCCGGCAAGAGAAGAAUUUUGUUCGUUCGUCCUGUGUAGUCGAUGCAGCAGCAGCAGCUCCAGCUUCAUUGCCGACGUAGAGAGAGCUCUGCAGCGUACGUCGUCGCCUUCCUCCAGUCCAGUCCAGUCCAGUAGCAUUGGGCCAUUGACUCUCCUGAAUUACUACAACUAGUGCUGGCCUUGCCUUUCUAUCUAUGUAAAUGUAACUAAAUCCAUCUACUCACUGAUCUGCUCCAAGAUUAUUAUUGCUUUUACUUGAAUAUAUCAUGUCUCGGUAAAAUUCUCCCGGGAUCAACUUUUGUUACUCUCUGAAGGUGAUAAGCUUGGAGUCGACCGACCGACUAGCGCACCAGGCAGUACCCAAACUCGAUCGUCCGGCCAUGCGGGCACGUGUAUGUCUCGGCCCGGCACGCGGCGCGCGGGCCACGUGCCAUGGCGCGCUCCGCGCGUCUCCUCGCCGAACGCGUGUCGACUUGAAGGCCGUUAAAGUGCGUCGGCACUGCCGCUUGCCUCGGCUGUCUGCUCUGCUCCCGUGGUUCUCUUCUUGCGCGGUUGCGCACUAGCUUUUGCUUUGUAGACUCUGUAUCAUCGACGAGCUCCGACCUCGACUUAGCUCCGGGCAGCAGGCGACGAUGUCGGUGAGCCUCGUGAGGGCGUCGCUGCCGGCCUGGUGCACGGCGGCGGCAGCGGGGAGCAGCGGCCUGCGCUCUCGCCUGCGCGGCACGGCGUGCUCCGGUCGGCGCGUGGGCGUCCGGUGCAGCUCCACCACGCCGCCGGGUUUCCCUCCCGGGCCGACGCCGCCGGGGUUCCCCGCGGUGCCGUCGCCCGAGGAGGUGCCGGGCACGGCCCGCCCGCCCGAGGAGAUGCCGGGCACGGCGCGGCCGCCGCAGGAGAUGCCGGGCAUCGACACGCCGCCGGAGUUCAACGCGCCCCCGGGCGUGGACGUGCCGAUGCCAGGGGCGCCGGUGCCGGGCACGCCUCCCAGCCCGGAGCAGCCGGGGCCGUUCGUGCCGUCGCCGCCGAGGCCGGAGAUCCCGACCGUGCCGCCGAACCCCGACGUGAUCCCGCCGCCGCCGCCGGAGGUGGAUCCGCCGCGCGCCCCGCCCGAGGUGGUACCUCCGCAGCCGUCCGACGUCCCGCCUCCCUUGGUGUGAGUAAGCGCGCGCAGUGCCCCCGGCCACGACGGUGACCCGAGAUCCGCUGUAAAAUAGCGUAGUAGUAAUAUGUGCAACUAGCUUCCAGCUGCUUCAAAUAAAAUAAAGAGGAUUGGCCGCGGCGCCCUGUUCCGGUGUAAAUUUUGUCACGGAUGAUAACAUGAAUCUUGUCACAGUUCUCUGAACUCUGGGUUGUAGUACUGGGACAAGAGUGAUUUAGAGCCUGACUGCUCGCCAUCUUAAAAUUCAGCUCCGCUCCAGAAAAAAUAAGCCAAACAGGAUAGCUUCAUGAUAUGCCGCUUCAUAAAAAAAUAGAAUCUGGGAUACAAAUUCCAAUUUUUUAUGAAGCUCUUCAGGGUGCUUCAACAAACUCUAGAAGCUAAAGUUGGGUGGAGAAAGGCAAACCAAACAGGGUAGCUUCAUGAUAUGCCGCUUCAUAAAAAAAUUAGAAUCUGGAAUACAACUUUCAAUUUUUUAUGAAGCUUCAAAGGGUGCUUCAACAAACUCUAGAAGCUGGAGUUAGGUGGAAAUUACCCACCACUGUCACCAGUAACUGGAUACCUUUCGUUUUUUCCCUUAAAACCAAUCAAAUAGAUCCUUUUAUCAAAUUUCUUAUUUUUAAGCUGAAGCUAGAUAGAAGUCAAACAUUUUCUUUGCUAGUGCUACAACUUCUGGAUGAAACUGCUUCAAAGUGAAUUUAAUUGAGCGAAACUGAUUUUGAUGAAGCGGAGCAGUUUCGAACAGGCCUGUCGGAGUAAUGGACCACGGGUAGCCUCACCCGAGUUCCUGAACCUACGGGUUCCGUUAUUGGUUAUUGACCAGAGAGAUGUCUUGGUCAUGUCUGCAUAGUUCUUGAACCCGUAGGGUCGGCACGCUUAACGUUCGUUGACGAUAUGGUAUUAUAUGAGUUAUGUAUGUUGGUAACCGAAUCUUGUUCGGAGUCCCGGAUGAGAUCACGGACAUGACAAGGAGCUCCGGAAUGGUCCGUAGGUAAAGAUUGAUAUAUUGGAUGAUAUGGUUAGGCCAAGGGGUCAGGCCCACGGGGCUAUAAGUCGGUGCAAAAGGACUUUUGCGGAGGCCAGGGGCCAAACGCCGGAGACCCUGGCGUCUGGUCCUGGGCCAGACGCCGAGGCCCAUGGCGUCUGGGCCAGACGCCAAGGAUUGUGGCAUUUGGUCCUGGAGUCCGAGUGGGACUCUUUCCUUUCGGGCAAAACCGACUUUGAGGAGGCUUUUACUCCAAGUUUCGACCCCAGGGCUCAACAUAUAAAUAGAGGGGCGGGGCUAGCACCAAAGACACAUCAAGAAACACCAAGCCGUGUGCCGGCAACCCCGUCCCCUCUAGUUUAUCCUCCGUCAUAGUUUCCGUAGUGCUUAGGCGAAGCCCUGCGAAGAUUGUUCUUCACCAGCACCGUCACCACACCGUCGUGCUGCCGGAACUCAUCUACUACUUCGCCCGUCUUGCUGGAUCGAGAAGGCGAGGAAGUCAUUGAGCUGAACGUAACUCGGAGGUGUUAUGCGUUCGGUACUUGGAUCGGUCGGAUCGUGAAGACGUACGACUACAUCAACCGUGUUGAUAAACGCUUCCGCUUAGCGAUUUUCAAGGGUAUAAAGAGACACUCCCCCUCUCGUUGCUAUGCAUCACCAUGAUCUUGCAUGUGCGUAGGAAAUUUUUUGAAAUUACUACGUUCCCCAACAAUGGCAUCCGAGCCAGGUUUUAUGCGUAGAUGUUAUAUGCACGCCACAAGUGAGUUGUGGGCGAUACAAGUCAUACUGCUUACCAGCAUGUCAUACUUUGGUUCGGCGGUAUUGUUGGAUGAAGCGGCCCGGACCGACAUUACACGUACGCUUAUGCGAGACUGGUUCUACCGACGUGCUUUGCACACAGGUGGCUGGCGGGUGUCAGUUUCUCCAACUUUAGUUGAACCGAGUGUGGCUACGCCCGGUCCUUGAGAAGGUUAAAACAGCACUAACUUGACGAACUAUCAUUGUGGUUUUGAUGCGUAGGUAAGAACGGUUCUUGCUAAGCCCGUAGCAGCCACAUAAAACUUGCAACAACAAAGUAGAGGACGUCUAACUUGUUUUUGCAGGGCAUGUUGUGAUGUGAUAUGGUCAAGACGUGAUGCUAUAUUUUAUUGUAUGAGAUGAUCAUGUUUUGUAACCGAGUUAUCGGCAACUGGCAGGAGCCAUAUGGUUGUUGCUUUAUUGUAUGCAAUGCAAUCGCCCUGUAAUUGCUUUACUUUAUCACUAAGCGGUAGCGAUAGUCGUAGAAGCAAUAGUUGGUGAGACGACAACGAUGCUAUGGUGGAGAUCAAGGUGUCGCGCCGGUGACGAUGGUGAUCAUGACGGUGCUUCGGAGAUGGAGAUCACAAGCACAAGAUGAUGAUGGCCAUAUCAUAUCACUUAUAUUGAUUGCAUGUGAUGUUUAUCUUUUAUGCAUCUUAUCUUGCUUUGAUUGACGGUAGCAUUAUAAGAUGAUCUUUCACUAAAUUUCAAGAUAAAAGUGUUCUCCCUGAGUAUGCACCGUUGCCAAAGUUCGUCGUGCCCAGACACCACGUGAUGAUCGGGUGUGAUAAGCUCUACGUCCAUCUACAACGGGUGCAAGCCAGUUUUGCACACGCAGAAUACUCAGGUUAAACUUGACGAGCCUAGCAUAUGCAGAUAUGGCCUCGGAACACUGAGACCGAAAGGUCGAGCGUGAAUCAUAUAGUAGAUAUGAUCAACAUAGUGAUGUUCACCAUUGGAAACUACUCCAUUUCAUGUGAUGAUCGGUUAUGGUUUAGUUGAUUUGGAUCACGUGAUCACUUAGAUGAUUAGAGAGAUGUCUAUCUAAGUGGGAGUUCUUAAGUAAUAUGAUCAAUUGAACUUAAAUUUAUCAUGAACUUAGUCCUGGUAGUAUUUUGCAAAUUAUGUUGUAGAUCAAUAGCUCGCGUUGUUGCUUUCAUAUGUUUAUUUUGAUAUGUUCCUAGAGAAAACUAUGUUGAAAGAUGUUAGUAGCAAUGAUGCGGACUUGGUCCGUGAUCUGAGGUUUAUCCUCAUUGCUGCACAGAAGAAUUAUGUCCUUGAUGCACCGCUAGGUGACAGACCUAUUGCAGGAGCAGAUGCAGACGUUAUGAACGUUUAGCUAGCUCAAUAUGAUGACUACUUGAUAGUUUUGUACAUCAUGCUUUAUGGCUUAGAACCGGGACUACAAAAAUGUUUUUGAAACGUCACGGAACAUAUGAGAUGUUCCAUGAGAUGAAAUUGAUAUUUCAUACUCAUGCCCGUGUCAAGAGGUAUGAGACCUCUGACAAAUACUUCGCCUAAAAGAUGGAGGAUAAUUGCUCAACUAGUGAGCAAGUGCUUAGAUUGUCUGAGUUCUACAAUCACUUGAAUCAAGUGGGGAGUUAAUCUUCCAGAUAAGAUAGUGAUUGACAGAGUUCUCUAGUCACCAUCACUAAGUUACUAGAACUUCAUGAUGAACUAUAAUAUGCAAGGGAUGACAAACACGAUUCCCGAGCUCUUCGUGAUGCUGAAAUCAACGAUGGUAGAAAUCAAGAAAGAACAUCAAAUGUUGAUGAUUGACAAGAUCACUAGUUUCAAGAAAAGGGCAAAGGGAAAGGAAGGAAAACUUCAAGUAAAAUGGCAAGCAAGUUGUCACUCCCGUGCAGAAGCCCAAAGCUGAACCAAAGCCUGAAACUAAGUGCUUCUACUGCAAAGGAAAUGGUCACUGGAAGCGGAAAUGCCCUGAAUAUUUGGUGGAUAAGAAGGAUGGCAAAGUGAACAAGGGUAUAUUUGACAUACAGGUUAUUGAUGUGUACCUUACUAGUGUUUAUAGUAUCCCCUGAGUAUUUGAUACUUGUUCGGUUGCUAAGAUUAGUAACUCGAAAUAGGAGUUACAGAAUAAACAGAGACUAGUUGAGGGUGAAGUAACGAUGUGUGUUGGAAGUGGUUCCAAGAUUGAUAUGAUCAUCAUCGUACACUCCCUAUAUUUUCGAGAUUAGUGUUGAACCUAAAUAAAUGUUAUUUGGUGUUUGCGUUGAGCAUAAAUAUGAUUAGAUCAUGUUUAUUGCGAUACGAUUAUUCAUCUAAGACAGAGAAUAAAUUGUUAUUAUGUUUACAUGAAUAAAACCUUCUAUGGUCAUACACCCAAUGUUGAUGGUUUAUUGAAUCUUGAUCAUGGUGAUACACAUAUUCAUAAUAUUGAUGCCGAAAGAUGCAAAGUGGAUAAUGAUAGUGCAACAUAUUUGUGGCACUGCCGUUUGAGUCAUAUCGGUGUAAAGCGCAUGAAGAAACUCCAUAAAGAUGGAUUUUUUUGAAUCAUUUGAUUAUGAAUCAUUUGAUGCUUGCGAACCGUGCCUUAUGGGCAAGAUGACUAAAACUCCGUUCUCCGGAACAAUGGAACGAGCUAGUGACUUAUUGGAAAUAAUACAUACUGAUGUAUGUGGUCCAAUGAGUGUUGAUGCUCGUGGCGGGUAUCGUUAUUUUCUGACCUUCACAAGAUGAUUUGAGCAGAUAUGGGUAUAUCUACUUAAUGAAACACAAGUCUGAAACAUUUGAAAUGUUCAAAAAAAUUCAGAGUGAAGUGAAGAAUCAUCGUAACAAGAAAAUAAAGUUUCUACGAUCUGAUCAUGGAGAAGAAUAUUUGAGUUACGAGUUUGGCCUUCAUAUACAACAGUGUGGAAUAGUUUCACAGCUCACGCCACAUGGAACACACAGCGUUAUGGUGUGUCCGAACGUCGUAACCACACUUUAUUGGAUAUGGUGCAAUCUAUGAUGUCUCUUAUCGGUUUACCACUAUUGUUUUGGGGUUAUGCAUUAGAGACAGUUGCAUUCACUUUAAAUAGGGCACCAUCGAAAUCCGUUGGUACGACGCCUUAUGAACUGUGGUUUGGCAAGAAACCAAAGUUGUCAUUUCUUAAAAUUUUGGGGCUACAAUGCUUAUGUGAAAAGUUUCAACCUGAUAAGCUCGAACCCAAAUCGGAGAAGUGCGUCUUCAUAGAAUACCCAAAAGAAACUGUUGGGUACACCUUCUAUCACAGAUCCGAAGGCAAGAUAUUCGUUGCUAAGAUGGAUCCUUUCUAGAGAAGGAGUUUCUCUCGAAAGAAGUGAGUGGGAGGAAAGUAAAACUUGAUGAGGUAACAGUACCUGCUCCCGAAUUGGAAAGUAGUUCAUCACAGAAAUCAGUUCCAGUGAUUCCUACACCAAUUAGUGAGGAAGCUAGUGAUGAUGAUCAUGAAACUUCAGAUUAAGUUACUACAGAACCUCGUAGGUCUUCCAAAGUACAGUCCGCACCAGAGUGGUACGAUAAUCCUGUUCUGGAAGUCAUGUUACUAGACCAUGAUGAACCUACGAACUAUGAGGAAGCGAUGAUGAGCCCAGAUUCCACGAAAUGGCUCGAGGCCUUGAAAUCUGAGAUAGGAUCCAUGUAUGAGAACAAAGUGUGGACUUUGGUGGACUUGCCCGAUGAUCGGCAAUCCAUAGAAAAUAAAUGGAUCUUCAAGAGGAAGACGGACGUUGAUAGUAGUGUUACUAUCUACAAAGGUCGACUUAUCGCAAAAGGUUUUUCGACAAGUUCAAGGUGUUGAAUACAAUGAGAUUUUCUCACUCGUAUCGAUGCUUAAAAGUCUGUCUGAAUCAUGUUAGCAAUUGCCACAUUUUAUGAAAUCUGGCAAAUGGAUGUCGAAACUGCAUUCCUUAAUGGAUUUAUUAAUGAAGAGUUGUAUAUGAUGCAACCAGAAGAUUUUGUCAAUCCUAAAGGUGCUAACAAAAUGUGCAAGCUCCAGCGAUCCAUCUAUGGACUGGUGCAAGCAUCUCGGAGUUGGAAUAUACGCUUUGAUGAGUUGAUCAAAGCAUAUGAUUUUAUACAGACUUUUGGAGAAGCCUGUAUUUACAAUAAAGUGAGUGGGAGCACUACAGCAUUUUUGAUAAGUAUAUGUGAAUGACAUAUUAUUGAUCGGAAAUAAUGUAUAAUUAUUUUGCAAAGCAUAAAGGAGUGUUUGAAAGGAGUUUUUCAAAGAAAUACCUCGGUGAAGCUGCUUACAUAUUGAGCAUCAAGAUCUAUAGAGAUAGAUAAGGACGCUUGAUAAGUUUUUCAAUGAAUACAUACCUUGACAAGAUUUUGAAGUAGUUCAAAAUGGAACAGUCAAAGAAAGAGUUCUUGCAUGUGUUAGAAGGUGUGAAAUUGAGUAAGACUCAAAGGCCGACCACGGCAGAAGAUAGAAAGAGAAUGAAAAAUCAUUCCCUAUGCCUUAGUCAUAGGUUCUAUAAAGUAUGCUAUGUUGUGUACCAGACCUAUUGUAUACCUUGCUGUGAGUUUGGCAAAUGAAUACAAUUUUGAUCUAAGAGUAGAUCACUGGACAACGGUCAAGAAUAUCCUUAGUGAGGACUAAGGAGCUGUUUCUCGAUUAUGGAGGUGAUAAAAGAGAUCGUCGUAAAGAGUUACAUCGAUGCAAGCUUUUACACCGAUCCAGAUGACUCUAAGUCUCAAUCUUGAUACAUAUUGAAAGUGGGAGCAAAUAGCUAGAGUAGCUCCGUGCAGAGCAUUGUAGACAUAGAAUAUUUGCAAAAUACAUACGGCUCUGAAUGUGACAUACCCGUUGACUAAACUUCUCUCUCGAGCAAAACAUGAUCAUACCUUAGUACUCUUUGGGUGUUAAUCACAUAGCGAUGUGAACUAGAUUAUUGACUCUAGUAAACCCUUCGGGUGUUGGUCACAUGACGAUGUGAACUAUGGGUGUUGAAUCACAUGAUGAUGCGAAAUAACGGAGGCCGAUGUGCCAUGGAGCUCUCUGUUUUCCCUUUCGGCAAGAGAAGAAUUUUGUUUCUUCGUCCUGUGUAGUCGAUGCAGCAGCAGCUGCUCCAGCUUCAUUGCCGACGUAGAGAGAGCUCUGCAGCGCAUGUCGUCGCCUUCCUCCAGUCCAGUCCAGUAGCAUUGGGUCCUUGACUCUCCUGAAUUACUACAACUAUUGCUGGCCUUGCCUUUUCUAUCUAUGUAAAUGUAAAUCCAUCUACUGACCGAUCUGCUCCAAGAUUAUUAUUACUUUUACUUCAAGAUCAUGUCUCGGUAAAAUUCUCCGGGGAUCAACUUUUGUUACUCUCUG
RNAcentral lists this long non-coding RNA (8336 nucleotides) under Triticum aestivum (bread wheat). RNAcentral describes it as "long non-coding RNA (TAES_LNC007957)". The record is from RNAcentral. Lineage: Eukaryota; Viridiplantae; Streptophyta; Magnoliopsida; Poales; Poaceae.